Dermacentor silvarum is the source of this 550-nucleotide long non-coding RNA. RefSeq lists it as uncharacterized. Lineage: Eukaryota; Metazoa; Arthropoda; Arachnida; Ixodida; Ixodidae. The transcript has 3 exons. The record is from RefSeq and is a predicted model, not a curated record.
CCUUGCCCAGCCAUACAUCUACAGUAUGCCCAGCCUUACAACUUCCGCAUACAUCUGCUAGUCCCAAGCUGUUUCCUGGAUUCGCAUCCCAAUUUGACGAAUACUCAGCUGCCUCAUUACCCAGCCACACAUGUGCAAUAUGUCCAGGCCUCCAAACCCCUCCUAUAUCUGCUAGCCACAAGCUUCUGCCUGGAUCUGUAGUCCAAGUUGAUGGGAGCUCAUCAGCCGAGGUCCUUUCGACAACAAACGUGGCUGCUCUGCACAAGAGAAUUGCAGAACUGGAGGAUAAGCUGCAAAGCCACAAACGAAGACUGUCUGUUUGUCAGCGGCAGAAAAAUGCUGCAGUACAAGAGAAGAACCUCCUCAAGAGACGGGUUGAUCAGUUUUUAGGAACUGACCAGCUGCAAUGCAUGGAGAGGCCUACGAUGCGUGGCACGCCAUGGUCAACGGCUACUAUAGAGAAGGGGCUGAAGAUCAGGCUCACAUGCGGACGUAGGGGUUACAACAUCGUUCAAGAGAUUGGGACGCCACUGCCAUCGGAACGAACGCU